RNAcentral lists this ribosomal RNA (460 nucleotides) under uncultured bacterium. Its description in RNAcentral is "partial 16S ribosomal RNA". It matches the Rfam family "Bacterial small subunit ribosomal RNA", at positions 338 to 795 of the family's 1533-position model. The record is from RNAcentral.
CCUACGGGUGACAGCAGUGAGGAAUCUUGGUCAAUGGACGAGAGUCUGAACCAGCCAAGUAGCGUGAAGGAUGACUGCCCUAUGGGUUGUAAACUUCUUUUAUAUGGGAAUAAAAUGUUCCACGUGUGUGAUUUUGUAUGUACCAUAUGAAUAAGGAUAGGCUAACUCCGUGCCAGCAGCCGCGCUAAGACGGAGGAUCCGAGCGUUAUCCGGAUUGAUUGGGUUUAAGGGGAGCGUAGGUGGAUUGUUAAGUCAGUUGUGAAAGUUUGCGGCUCAACCGUAAAAUUGCAGUUGAAACUGGCAGUCUUGAGUACAGUAGAGGUGAGCGGAAUUCGUGGUGUAGCGGUGAAAUGCUUAGAUAUCACGAAGAACUCCGAUUGCGAAGGCAGUUCACUGGACUGCAACUGACACUGAGGCUCGAAAGUGUGGGUAUCAAACAGGAUUAGAUACCCGGGUAGUC